ACUGAUACGGUCCUGUCAAAAAAAAAUGAAACGAAAAAUUUUCAUGUUUUGAGCUUAUUCAUCGCUUGGUUUCACUACAUUCAACAGAAACUGCACAAUGUUGUAUAUAAGGAAUCAAAGACAAGCUAUGCGUAACUUUGAAAACGUCAGUAUUUCAACAAGGACGAAAUUUAUGGCACGUUUAACUUCCAAUUAGCCCGUAUUGUUUUUUUGGCUAGCGAAAGUAAUGAAUUGAGGCAAUGUCGAGUAGUAUUGCACAACCUAGUAUUUGAUCCUGUGCGCUACAUAAUGAAUCCUAAUAAAUAAAACCUCAAUAAUCAAUCUGCUCAACCAACCGUCAAAAAAGGUUCAAUCAUUUCAAUUACUCAACGUGGCGCCAAGUAUGUCUCAUGAUUGUGUAUUCAUCUCACGACUUCAUUUCAUUUCUGUACCUUAUACACUCACUCAGCUACUUCAGGACUAGGUGUUGCGACACAAACGAGAAACCAUGCGCUGGACAUCAUUCAUGGGCCGAAACCGAUGUUAGCUUAUUGAGCAACCCUAAAAUCCGGGAAAACUUGUGAUCCAUCAAAGUAGAUAGAGCUGACAAUGUGGAAUAACUCAUAUGAAAAUUCAGACAUUGUUUGCCGUUUACGAUAUCUCUCGCUAUGUGGAAUUGAUCCGUUCGGUAAGUAAAGCAGUGCAACGUGAAUAGCAAAUUAUCACCUGUGGGUGGUGAGUAAAUAAACAAACGCCUAAGAAUGAAAAAAAUUUUUGCAGGUGGUUCAAGUCAGGAUGCUAUAAUGCAACAUCUUGUGAAUCAACGUCGCAUAUCGUAAUGGCUACAGCAAGGAAAUCCCGGAGGAGAUAGUUUUAUUAACCAACGUGUCGGACCGCAAUAUUAACGCCGAAGAGCAGUUGUAUGAGUAUGUUCCUAAACGGUAAUAGUAAAAUUACUUUAUUCACCGAUUUGUAACAAAGCACACUAGUUAUGGUAGGUUCACGAGCCGCUAUUAGGUUACAAGCUACUGUCAGGUUAGAGCCAUUGUAAGGUUAUAAGUUACAGUUGGGUUAGAGCUUGUUGUAAGGUUAAAACCAGUGAACCAUAGUGUAGUAAGAGAUGUUAAUAUGUUAGAGCCAUUGCUAGUGUGUAGCUAAAUUCGCCCUAGGCACGUUGCUCAUGUAGAGGAAGACACGAAACACGGAUGAGAUUCAAUUGUUCUACACUUAAUUGCAU
Non-coding RNA from Schizosaccharomyces pombe (fission yeast), 1216 nucleotides. The record is from the annotation of a GenBank genome assembly. NCBI's taxonomy places the organism in Eukaryota, Fungi, Ascomycota, Schizosaccharomycetes, Schizosaccharomycetales, Schizosaccharomycetaceae.